GGGGCAAUGAAACAAAAAAAAAACAAAUCGUUGCAAUUACACGAGAAACUGUCCUUUCCCUGAGCGCUUCGCGAGGCGUGGGACGGCUAUCGGAGUCGCGUCACACUUGUCAAAGCCUCGUUCUCCCUUUGACGUAUCGCCGACGAGCUCGCCAAUAAAGACGAUCCCCCGGUCAGAGGAUACCUGCAGCGGGGGGGGGGCGCCUCCCACCUCGUUUGGCGCCGUUACAAAUGUCGCGUCGUCGUCGUCGUCGUCGUCGCGGCGGCAGAACGCCUCGCACGCGUGAAAUCGGACUUAUCGAGGCCCCCCUUGCGCGCGCGUGUCCAAUCGCGUCUUUCUGUCCCGCGGCACUCUUCCCGCGUAACCCCUUCGCUCCCAUCGGCCGCUCGGCGAGCCUUUAUUGCGGUUGUAUUUCGCUUUUCUCCGCCGAUUUGUUAUUUAUGAGGCGUGAUGACGGCACGGUGGCCCCGGGGGGAGCCGCUCGCGCGUUUCGUAUGCACGACUUUUCACGAGCGGGCCCGUGACGUUUUCAUUUCGAGUGGUGCCGAGGUGUGGAGUAUUUGGGUUGCGGUUCACGGAUGCCAAAUUUUCAAAUCGUAGUAGAAUAAAAUGCCGUCAUUUUAAUAGUCUAAUAUUGAAGCGCUGUAUUUUCCAUCGGCUAGGAGAAAGAAAGAUAAUUUUUUUCACAUUUACAAUUUUUUUUUUAAUAUAUCAUUUUAUCUUUAUUUUUACGUUAACUAACCAAAGCUGCGCAUCAGGACAGAUUUCCGAGUCAUUGUCGUUUAACAAGUUUUACGUUCCGUAAUAUUAAAGACUAAUGUUGGGAGCAAGUUAAAUGAACAGUUACAAGCAACCAAAGUUCGAUGUUUGAAAGACAUUUUUUAAUGCUAUGGAAAUUUUAAUGGAAUUGUCUUUUUAUAAAAGUUAAUCAACUAGUAUUUUUCAACAAAUAUUUAAUAUUUAAGUCCAAUGUGGUCAAUGCGUUUGUCAAAAUUACAUUCAAAGUUGAAUAUUUUAAAAGUUAGAAUUUUGUAAUUAUUAAAUUUUUUUGCUAUUUAAAUAAAAGUCAUAAUAUUAUCAUUGAACCUUAACCCACGUAUAGUUCAAGCACAUUAUUUCAAAAGCUCAAAUAAUCAAGUUUCUUCGUAAAAUUUACAUUAAAAAUCGCGGUAGAUGAACAGUACGUUUCUACAGAGUUUUAUCGAUACUCCAAGGUCCCUCUCCAUUUAUGCUGUCAUCGCAGUAUAAAAAAAAAGACACUUGCUAUUAGAAAAUCUAGCAAUCAACAACUUUUGUUACAAAAAAAAAGCCGUUCCAAUCAGAGAACCGCAAAAAUAGCGACAAGUGCGAGCAACCGAACGGUUCCUCCAAUCAAAAAAAAAAAAAAAAUAGGCACACGUUUUUUUUUCUCACGCGCGCUAAAAGGCAACAACACAUAGCACACGCGUCGCCGUGACGAGUUGAAAAAGGGACAAACAGCAGUUAGGCGAACGCUUAUAUAUAGGGGCAUGCGAUGUGUCUAAUAUGCAGAUAAAACGCGCCACGUGCUGUUCAAUUGAGACACAAUCGUUGGGAUGUGCGACUACGCCUUUUAACGUCGGCUGUUUGUUUUGAUUUGUUGCGAUCGAUGAAUACAUUAAGAAAAAAAAAGAAGAAAAGUAGAAUCGCUUCCAAUCGCGUGUAUUGAGAUUUACACUGUUUUCGCAAAAGCACAGUAUCACGUCAAGUACGAUCGGCAAAAAAAUAUGUAUAUACAUGCUUAUACGUUCGUGUAACUGGGCAAAAUAUUAUCCUACGCAACAAUUUUCGCAUAAAAAUCAAUAUUGAUACAACGCGUUACACUCGUACAGCAUGGUAAAACGAUUGCAAGCCUUCAUUAGCAGUCGGCGCUCAGAGAUAAGCCAAGCAAUCUUAGCUACUAUCUGCGUUUAUUCUAAUUGACACGAUAUGUGUCUAACGACUAGACGUUCGGCGUAUAUAUUCAUCAGCCACUUCCUCGAGAGAACAUCGCAUUGUAUAGGCGCAAUGUAACUGUACGCUUUCGCACGAGCUGCCAUUGUGUCUGGCAUGGGGUUUCUAUAGCGCAACGCUGCUGCUUGUUUCCAUUCGCGGACGUGAGAGCCGCAACUUUUACUUAAAAACCACUGAUUUGGAGAUCAGGUGAAAAUUGUUGCUUGGCUUGCACGUUACUUUCUGAUUUGUUGCUCUAAGGACACGGUUUCCAAACGUUCGCGAGAUUUCCGUUGAAGUGUUCGUAUUUGUUUUUAUCGCAAUACGAAAUAAAAAAAAAAAAAAAAAAAAAAAACAAACAAAUACCGCGGAAAAAAGCAGCCGUUUUACACAGACGUCGUUGAAGAGUCUUGCGUAUGUUAAUAACCAAAAAUAUUCAGUCCACUCCGGUUUCGCUCGCGAUCUCUGCAUUGUACGUUCGGAUUUACGAGACGCUUUAUCUAACCCCAUAUGUUAAUUUUCAUUGAUUACGUCAAGGUAUAUACUGUUCCGCGCGCGACUGCUGAGAUAUCAGCUUUAAACGAAAAGUAGAGGCGUUUCGUUAAUUUGCGCUCGCCAAUAUUUCAUUCAUAAAAGAACGAAAAGAAAAAACAAAACCAAGCCACGGAUAUGUAGAAAGAGCGAAGGCCAAGCGUUUUAUCUCCUCGCCUACGCGCGGAUCCAAUGAAUUAUUUUUCUUAUUAUUUCGGGAGAGGCGUUCGCGAUAUGUUGCGCAGUUUUUUUUCAUUUUUUUUCGGGGUCACGACCACCGGAUGCAGAAACGAAGAAUGUACAUGGCGAAAUGUGUUUUUUGUUGAGGUGUAGAGCAAGAUUUUGUUACUGAAUCCUCUGGUAACAUUUGUUGCGGGUUUGAAAAUGGAAGUUUACACAAGAAAUGAUCGUGAAUUGCUGGAUAAUAUACGCAACGAAAUGAUUAGCCAGUAAAGAGAUUUGUUCGUUCCCAUAGUAAUUACAAUUAAUCUUCUAAUAAGAUUCGAGAAAUUUUUCUCCAUUGAAACCAUAGUGAUCUCUCGCUAUUUGCUUGAACACAAUAACUAUUAACAUCCACAAUAAGUGGGAAGAAAAUGAAAGGUCUUCCCCCACCUCCAACAGAAGAGAGCAAAAAUCGCGAAACAAUGUAUGCAACGAGAUCAAUUACGGCGUUGUGGUAGGUAUAUUAUACUCGAACGUCAGCAGCAGCAGCCGAUGUUAAUGACCUUAGACUUGCGGCUCGUUUGCAAAGGCGAUUCUCAUUCGCGACCUAAUAAUCCAUAUUCGUACAUCAUGCGCAAGGCUGCCUUGUUAACUGUGGAAUCUUUUUCAUCUCUCCCGCAUGCAAAAUUACCUAUCUUUGACUUUCGUUUAUUUGUAGCGCGUCGUCGGGUUAGAGUAGGAAAAACACCAGUCGACCGAGGAAUUAGAUUUUUUUUCCACUUUGAUUGACGCCGUAAAAGAGCGUUCAUUGGAUUUUUGUUUUAGGCGCGUACGUAAAACGUUCCGUGCACGUAAACCCAAAGGCAACAUUGCACGUGUGCAGCGGCAAGAAUCUAAAUAUAGACCAUCCUCGACAGUUACGCGUGAAAUCCAGCAUGAGAAAGAAGAAAGGGACGAGCGAGCGAGCGAGCGAGCGAGCGAGAGAGAGAGAGAGAGAGAGAGAGAGAGAGAGAGAGAGAGAAAGAGAGAGAGGAAGUGCCGGAGAGUGUUUGUGUAAAAGGUGGCAAUUAGCUGUGUGGCGUGUACACGUAUAGGCUAAUUGAGUAUAUUCUCUCGCUCGGUUUGAAGACUGCAACAGCGCAGUAUGAUGCCGAGGUACGUCAAAAGUUGGAGAAAGGAAAUUUCCUUUUCUUGUUAAAGAAAUAGGUUGAGAGAUGGUGGACGCGAGACAUUUCAGUCGGUUGUUAAUGACACGUUAGACACUCCGUCCUAGUUGUUUUGCCAAUAUGCGUUUUCUUCUCUUUCGUUUGGGUACAUGCCGGGAUUUCUCGCUCUUUGAAGUUUUUGUUGAACUUGACGAACCUGCGUGAAAAUACAUUCGUUUAUUUAUUUCCGCGAUCAUUAAUUUAUUGCAACUCGACGAGUUGUAAAAUUGUCAUAAAGGUUCCGCUAUGCCGAGGAGAAACUUGCUAAAAAUAGAUUUGACCACUUCAGAGACUUCAAUGUUUUUCUUUUACACUUGUAACAAAGCUUAAAGAAACUUUGCGUAGUCCAGUUAAAAUUCAGCAUCGCGACAGAAAAGAAAAAAAAAAAGAAACGAAGCUCAACAAAAGCAAUUGAAAAUAAAAGGCACGGACGAAAGAGUACAUGCGCACGCGUCAGUCCGUUGUCACGCAUCCCUUUUUCGUACGUUGCGUGCGUACGUCGAAUUUCAAUCGUCGCGCAUUUACAUCUGCCGCAUUGUCUUGGCUAAUUUUGCGAACCCUAUUUGAUGAUAGACAGACGGCUUCUUUAUUUUCCUUCUAAAUUUGAGAUCAUCCUCGUACUUUUUUUUUCGACGUAGGGGAGACUCGAGUGUGUGCGAUUUCGAGUGGAUUAUGUUGCGUUUGUGGAGUGUAGUCUGCUGACAGUUUUGUGCAAAUUUAUUCACGCAAUGAGUUAUUGCGUAAAUAUUACUGUGUUAAAUAUUUUUAACAGUCUUCGAAAAAUCUUUACAAUGCUAAUAAUCGUUGGGUAUUACGUGGAUAAACAGUAAUCCAAUUAAAUAAUCAAAUGAUUGUAACGAUUGUAACGACGAACAAUGCUCAAUUUAUUAAAUAAGCCCCAGCAGCAAUUGAGCUUUAUAUAAGCCUUCGAAGCAUUUAAAGCCGAGUAGUUAGUAAUAAACGUCUACCAUUUCACGACACAAUGUCAUCUCGUGUUUUUUUUUGCGAGUUGCGCUUGGCAAUUUAUAUUAAUGACUGUAGUUAUUGUAAAACGAAGGUUAUCUGGCAAAUUUACUUUUUGAGAUAUCUACAAUUCUUUUAAAACAUUGUCUAUCAUUUUCGCACAUAAGGUUACCGUAAAAGCAACAUCGUCUACGAGUCUCAGUUCACCGAUUGGCGACAGGAGUGUGCUGCAUAAAUCUAAAGUCCACAUCGCUCUGUGAAAAAUAUUUUGUUAAUUUAAUUACUAAUCUUUGUAAAGCUUUCGACAAGGUCAGUAAAAGAUACUGCCACGAAACCAUGUUAAACUAAGAAACUCAAAAGAUAAGUAAACUUACGGUUUGAGAACAAGAACACCAAGAAGGUCGACGAUAACUGAGAGGUCGUUCAUCGCCACAGCCGAGUCCACGGCCGACUGCAACAAAAACAAAUCACCACGAGUAACUACACAAUUUGCACUGUAUCACUUGCACAAUAAGGUUGACCUUCUUGUCAUCACCGCCAGUAACGAGGACUCUGCCGGACUUAUGACCCAACGACAGGCAAUUGACGUUCGACGAAUGGGCAACGAAGUCCUCUGCAGAAAAAGACCAAUAUCAUACACAUCAACUAUGCAGACACAUAGGCGAUUUCUUGAAAGACCUGUUAUGACGCAACGUUGCUUUUCACGCCGAAGCGCGAGAUACGUUUAAUGUACACACAACUGGAUGUAUUUGCUGGACAGGUGCAUCUCUAAUGUAUGUUUGCCGCAGCAAAAUUUUUAAAUUAAUAAAAAU
Phymastichus coffea is the source of this 5623-nucleotide long non-coding RNA. RefSeq lists it as uncharacterized. NCBI's taxonomy places the organism in Eukaryota, Metazoa, Arthropoda, Insecta, Hymenoptera, Eulophidae. The transcript has 4 exons. The record is from RefSeq and is a predicted model, not a curated record.